AGCAGACAGUGCGUAAAUAGUCCAUAGUAAGUCCCUUUUCUAAGUCUUUGGAUUCUUUCCUCUACAUUAUUCUGAGGAACUACUGGCAUUUUAACAUAUUUUAUCCUGGGCCAUAACUGAUUCCAGGUUUCAGCUCUUCAACUAUGCAAACAAUUAUACCAUGCCAAGUUGCUCUAGCUAGCACAUUGCAUCUCUGACCUAAAUUUGUGUAUCUACAGAUUUGGCUCAUGUGAAAAUUAUAUUCUACCCUCCUUGGUCCGGUUCCUCAAAAGCUAUACCUGGACACAUUUCUACAUUUUGCUUAUAUAUGUUAACAAUAUCUUUCAUAUCUCUUUCUGGAUUUGACUCGUAAUUGGCCUUCUGACACCAAUCUCAGAGGCUUUCCAGGUCCCAUAGGAAGAGCAGCUUUCUUCAGUUUUCUGCAUAUGUUCUGGUUUUGAGCUUUGUUGGCUCUGGUUAGUCACAAUGUAAAAAUCCUGUUUAUUUUCUGUUUUCCAGAAAUUUCUCAAAUAUUUGGUACACUCCUGACUUCUCCCUAUUCUCAGAGCUGUUAAUGAAGUUAGUCUCCUUUGUAAGUCUUUCAGUCAUCUCGGCAGGUUGGGUAGGGAGGUGAACUUACACUCAGUUUGCCAUUUUUUACCUGGAAGUCUCUAUUCAGUUUUCAGUCUAAUACUCUACUAGUGAAAGUCACCUAUGCACCACAGGUUGCCAAAUCUAACCAGUCUAUUCUGGGCCUAUUUUACUUGAUCUUUCUGGAAUUUGAUAUUGUUGAUCAUUCUUUUCUAGAAAAUCUCUCAUUUUUUGGCUUCAAAUAUUUGAUACUUUCCUGGUCU
RNAcentral lists this long non-coding RNA (833 nucleotides) under Homo sapiens (human). RNAcentral's name for it is "non-protein coding lnc-CDKN3-3:1". Lineage: Eukaryota; Metazoa; Chordata; Mammalia; Primates; Hominidae. The record is from RNAcentral.